GCGGGUGUAGUUUAGUGGUAAAACUACAGCCUUCCAAGCUGUUGUCGCGAGUUCGAUUUUCGUCACCCGCU
RNAcentral lists this transfer RNA (71 nucleotides) under Streptococcus agalactiae. Its description in RNAcentral is "tRNA-Gly". It matches the Rfam family "tRNA". Rfam says of the family: Transfer RNA (tRNA) molecules are approximately 80 nucleotides in length. Lineage: Bacteria; Bacillati; Bacillota; Bacilli; Lactobacillales; Streptococcaceae. The record is from RNAcentral. RNAcentral also lists the same sequence under 2 other names.